RNAcentral lists this transfer RNA (73 nucleotides) under Streptomyces sp. AD2-2. Its description in RNAcentral is "tRNA-Gly". Lineage: Bacteria; Bacillati; Actinomycetota; Actinomycetes; Kitasatosporales; Streptomycetaceae. RNAcentral also lists the same sequence under 13 other names. The record is from RNAcentral.
CCCGGGCGUAGCGCAGAGGCAGACGCACGUCUUGCCAGGACGAGAUACAUCGGUUCGAAUCCGAUCCCCGGGC